RNAcentral lists this ribosomal RNA (545 nucleotides) under Neofusicoccum parvum. RNAcentral's name for it is "eukaryotic LSU rRNA". The stretch from base 184 to 337 matches the Rfam family "5.8S ribosomal RNA". Lineage: Eukaryota; Fungi; Ascomycota; Dothideomycetes; Botryosphaeriales; Botryosphaeriaceae. The record is from RNAcentral.
GGGCUAACGGACUGAUUCGAGCUCGGCUCGACUCUCCCACCCAAUGUGUACCUACCUCUGUUGCUUUGGCGGGCCGCGGUCCUCCGCACCGGCGCCCUUCGGGGGGCUGGCCAGCGCCCGCCAGAGGACCAUAAAACUCCAGUCAGUGAACUUCGCAGUCUGAAAAACAAGUUAAUAAACUAAAACUUUCAACAACGGAUCUCUUGGUUCUGGCAUCGAUGAAGAACGCAGCGAAAUGCGAUAAGUAAUGUGAAUUGCAGAAUUCAGUGAAUCAUCGAAUCUUUGAACGCACAUUGCGCCCCUUGGUAUUCCGAGGGGCAUGCCUGUUCGAGCGUCAUUUCAACCCUCAAGCUCUGCUUGGUAUUGGGCCCCGUCCUCCACGGACGCGCCUUAAAGACCUCGGCGGUGGCGUCUUGCCUCAAGCGUAGUAGAAAACACCUCGCUUUGGAGCGCACGGCGUCGCCCGCCGGACGAACCUUUGAAUUAUUUCUCAAGGUUGACCUCGGAUCAGGUAGGGAUACCCGCUGAACUUAAGCAUAUCAUAG